AGAGUUUGAUCCUGGCUCAGAUUGAACGCUGGAGGCGUGCUUAACACAUGCAAGUCGUGCGAGAAAGGGGCUUCGGCCCUGAGUAGAGCGGCGCACGGGUGAGUAACGCGUGGGUAAUCUCCCCUGGUGAUCGGGAUAACAGCGGGAAACUGCUGCUAAUACCGGAUAAUCUUCAUGUUUAACUUCAUGGGGUAAAGGUGGCCUCUGCUUGCAAGCUACCACAUCAGGAUGAGCCCGCGUCUCAUUAGCUAGUUGGUAGGGUAAUGGCCUACCAAGGCUACGAUGAGUAGCUGGUCUGAGAGGAUGACCAGCCACACUGGGACUGGAACACGGCCCAGACUCCUACGGGAGGCAGCAGUGGGGAAUAUUGCGCAAUGGGCGAAAGCCUGACGCAGCGACGCCUCGUGAGGGAUGAAGGUCUUCGGAUCGUAAACCUCUGUCAAGAGGGAAGAAACCCUUGAGUUCGAACAGGGCUCUUGGCUGACGGUACCUCUAAAGGAAGCACCGGCUAACUCCGUGCCAGCAGCCGCGGUAAUACGGAGGGUGCAAGCGUUAAUCGGAAUCACUGGGCGUAAAGCGCACGUAGGCGGCCUUGUAAGUCAGGGGUGAAAUCCCACGGCUCAACCGUGGAACUGCCUUUGAAACUGCAGGGCUUGAAUCCUGGAGAGGGUGGCGGAAUUCCUGGUGUAGGAGUGAAAUCCGUAGAUAUCAGGAGGAACACCGGUGGCGAAGGCGGCCACCUGGACAGGUAUUGACGCUGAGGUGCGAAAGUGUGGGGAGCAAACAGGAUUAGAUACCCUGGUAGUCCACACCGUAAACGAUGGAUACUAGGUGUCGGGGACUUGAUCUUCGGUGCCGUAGCUAACGCGUUAAGUAUCCCGCCUGGGGAGUACGGUCGCAAGCUAAACUCAAAGGAAAUUGACG
This 924-nucleotide ribosomal RNA is filed under the name uncultured bacterium. RNAcentral describes it as "bacterial SSU rRNA". It matches the Rfam family "Bacterial small subunit ribosomal RNA", at positions 8 to 915 of the family's 1533-position model. The record is from RNAcentral.